GACGAACGCUGGCGGCGUGCUUAACACAUGCAAGUCGAACGGAAAGGCCCUGCUUUUGUGGGGUGAUCGAGUGGCGAACGGGUGCGUAACACGUGAGUAACCUGCCCUUGACUUUGGGAUAACUUCAGGAAACUGGGGCUAAUACCGGAUAGGAGCUCCUGCUGCAUGGUGGGGGUUGGAAAGUCUCGGCGGUUGGGGAUGGACUCGCGGCUUAUCAGCUUGUUGGUGGGGUAGUGGCUUACCAAGGCUUUGACGGGUAGGCGGCCUGAGAGGGUGACCGGCCACAUUGCGACUGAGGUACGGCCCAGACUCCUACGGGGGGCAGCAGUGGGGAAUAUUGCACAAUGGGCGGGAGCCUGAUGCAGCAGCGCCGCGUGCGGGAUGACGGCCUUCGGGUUGUAAACCGCUUUCGCCUGUGACGAAGCGUUAGUGACGGUAAUGGGUAAAGAAGCACCGGCUAACUACGUG
RNAcentral lists this ribosomal RNA (468 nucleotides) under uncultured bacterium. RNAcentral describes it as "partial 16S ribosomal RNA". It matches the Rfam family "Bacterial small subunit ribosomal RNA", at positions 28 to 507 of the family's 1533-position model. The record is from RNAcentral.